This is a long non-coding RNA of Hypanus sabinus (Atlantic stingray), 808 nucleotides long. RefSeq lists it as uncharacterized. NCBI's taxonomy places the organism in Eukaryota, Metazoa, Chordata, Chondrichthyes, Myliobatiformes, Dasyatidae. The record is from RefSeq and is a predicted model, not a curated record. The transcript is spliced from 5 exons.
AGGCACUGUUGUAUGUAGACGUAAUUGGCAGAAGAGAGAAGCGAGAGAAAACCACAAAGACAUGAAAGGAGACCAGGAGGCAACAUAAGUCAUAGCAAUGGCAAAGCAAUCAUACUGGGCUAAAGGCAAAUUAAUGUAAGUCAGAAAUUGGAAACAGCUGGUACUGUGAAGCUGCCCCUUCUUGAACACAUUGUAAACCAACAAAACAAAAAGAUAUCACUCUGAAACUUACAGAAUCGAUCAAGAUGUGAUUGCUGGUCCGAGAAGAGAAGUGAUUGAAAUACAGUGGCCGGCAAUGGUAUGAAGAUAUGGAUCUGAGUGACUUUCACACAUCCCGUUGUUCACUGAGCCUUCGGGAUCACAGUUACAGGCUGUGGAUCAAAGGAGGUGGACACAGCAGCCCAACGAAACCAGCAGCAGGGAAACACCACUUCCAAAUUACCAAACUUCCCAAAAUGGCCAUACCUGUGGCUGAUCACGUUGACCUCAUCAGACACCUAAGAACCAUAGAACCAGAGGAAGCAAGUUACCCUUGAUCUGAGGAGUGUCUUUGGAGAGAUGUUACGUCAGACUUUAUUUCAGCUCAAGGUGUUUGAUCUCAUCUUGAUAAAUACAUCAGAGGCAGAGGUCAUGAUGAAGAAAGAAGGUUCAGGCUCACUCAUUUUUGAUGUUGCAAGCACUACAAAUGUCAGCUUUUUUCACACUUCAGAAGUGCCUACCUUGUAUCUCUGGGCUGUAUGGAUUAGAGAUUUGGAAAUGUGGAUCCAGUGCUUUCAGAACAACCUGCAAUGCAUGUUUCAAAAUAAAA